RNAcentral lists this transfer RNA (77 nucleotides) under Pseudomonadaceae bacterium. RNAcentral describes it as "tRNA-Pro". It matches the Rfam family "tRNA". From Rfam's summary of the family: Transfer RNA (tRNA) molecules are approximately 80 nucleotides in length. Their secondary structure includes four short double-helical elements and three loops (D, anti-codon, and T loops). Further hydrogen bonds mediate the characteristic L-shaped molecular structure. tRNAs have two regions of fundamental functional importance: the anti-codon, which is responsible for specific mRNA codon recognition, and the 3' end, to which the tRNAs corresponding amino acid is attached (by aminoacyl-tRNA synthetases). tRNAs cope with the degeneracy of the genetic code in two manners: having more than one tRNA (with a specific anti-codon) for a particular amino acid; and 'wobble' base-pairing, i.e. permitting non-standard base-pairing at the 3rd anti-codon position. The record is from RNAcentral. Lineage: Bacteria; Pseudomonadati; Pseudomonadota; Gammaproteobacteria; Pseudomonadales; Pseudomonadaceae.
CGGGGUGUAGCGCAGCCUGGUAGCGCGCAACGUUCGGGUCGUUGAGGCCGGAGGUUCGAAUCCUCUCACCCCGACCA